RNAcentral lists this ribosomal RNA (466 nucleotides) under uncultured bacterium. RNAcentral describes it as "partial 16S ribosomal RNA". It matches the Rfam family "Bacterial small subunit ribosomal RNA", at positions 29 to 506 of the family's 1533-position model. The record is from RNAcentral.
ACGCACGCUGGCGGCGUGCUUCACACAUGCCAGUCGAACGGAAAGGCCCUGCUUUUGUGGGGUGCUCGAGUGGCGAACGGGUGAGUAACACGUGAGUAACCUGCCCUUGACUUUGGGAUAACUUCAGGAAACUGGGGCUAAUACCGGAUAGGAGCUCCUGCUGCAUGGUGGGGGUUGGAAAGUUUCGGCGGUUGGGGAUGGACUCGCGGCUUAUCAGCUUGUUGGUGGGGUAGUGGCUUACCAAGGCUUUGACGGGUAGCCGGCCUGAGAGGGUGACCGGCCACAUUGGGACGGAGAAACGGCCCAGACCCCGAGGGGGGGGAGGGGUGGGGAAUAUGGCACAAGGGGGGGAAGCCGGAGGCAGCAACGCCGGGGGCGGGAUGACGGCCUUCGGGUUGGAAACCGCUUUCGCCUGUGACGAAGCGUGAGUGAAGGUAAUGGGGAAAGAAGCACCGGCUAACUACGG